RNAcentral lists this long non-coding RNA (479 nucleotides) under Nicotiana benthamiana. Its description in RNAcentral is "long non-coding RNA (NBEN_LNC033997)". Lineage: Eukaryota; Viridiplantae; Streptophyta; Magnoliopsida; Solanales; Solanaceae. The record is from RNAcentral.
UUUUUUGAAGAAUGUUGAACAAAUAAUGCUAACAGUUGAGCAUGUAUGAUAGUCAAACUACUAAUAAAGACCUACAAUAUAAUUUAAAUAAUUAAUAUCUACAUAUAAAAGUAGUAAAUUACCCUCACUAAUCAUUUUUAGAGGGUUCCAAUUAAUUUUAAUCUAAUAAUUAAAGACCCAAAGAUCAUUGUAUAAUAACUGACCAAUCAUAUCCUUACAAAGAAAAUACUCAAUUCAGGUCCAUCAUUUGCAUCUGGGCUCAACAUGUAUAGUGUUUCAGCAUCUUUUGAUUUAACCACACGUUCAAAAUGUGCCCUCAUAUACGUCAUCUCGCCGUCUGGUCCUUCCACGUCAGAUUUUCCCGGCAACACGCCGGCGCCCCAACAUGUAUAGUGUUGCAGCAUCUUUUGAUUUAACCACACGUUCAAAAUGUGCCCUCAUAUAUGUCAUCUCGCCGUCCGGUCCUUCCACGUCAGAUU